Pygocentrus nattereri (red-bellied piranha) is the source of this 1147-nucleotide long non-coding RNA. The record is from Ensembl. NCBI's taxonomy places the organism in Eukaryota, Metazoa, Chordata, Actinopteri, Characiformes, Serrasalmidae.
UCCGUUUGUGAAUAUAUUUCCAACAUAUAUAUGUACAACAAGGGAACUUGCGCGGUUGCUGAUAAUGUUUGUAUGUGGAAUUAAACCGCGACGUCAGAGAGUCUUAUUCCACUCAAACACACUGAGCUCCAUUUGGGAAUUUUUUCACAAAUCCAGUUUUGCUUAACUAAACAUUUCCAUAGAUUUUGACGUCAUUUGUGUUGAAAAUCACCUGCUGAGGUGUUGUUGGAUAGUGUAGUGGAUAACACCUCUGCCUUCUAUGCUGUAGACUAGGGUUCAGGGUCCCCCACCAGGGCAAGCACCCUACACUGUACCAAUCAGAGUCCUUGGGCAAGACUCCUAACACCACCUUGGCCUCCCUGUGUAAAAUGAUCAAACUGUAAGUUGCUCUGGAUAAGAGCGUCAGCCAAAUGCCGUAAAUGUAAAUGAGGUCAAAAACCGCGUGUCCAUGCGAAAUAGGAACUGUGCCAUGUUCACAGAUCGGCUGGUCAGUCUGAGUCUGGCUUCAUCCAUCUGAGCGCUCGACUUCUGAAGUUAUGCGCUUUAGAAAAACCUCGAUGCGUAAUAGUGGCGGAUUUUGGCGUGGAUCGUGACGUCACCUGAAUUCACAAAUCAGGACUAGCUAAAGCCUCCAGAGUUGGUGGAGGUAGUUCCCGCCCGCUGCCGGUUAAUCGCUCUCAGUCUGUGCUGCUCUGAAGGCUUUAAUGUUGUCGGCGCUCAUUAGGUCCCGUCAUGUGAUGUAACGGCGUUUGAUGGGUAAGCUCGCUGCGUUCAGCCCAAAUCCUGUUUCCUAUCAGAUCUUCAUUCGGAUGAAAUCGUGGUUUUAUAUUACCUGAAUAAACGUGGCGUUGAGACAGAUUUGAGCUCUGGGGAUAUCUGAUUCAUAUAUCACUUUAGAAGGGGUUUUAGUGGCUUUGCACACACAAAUAAAACAUCAAACGAAACGCCAGCUUUCUACAGGCGGACUCGCACGAGCAUCCCGAAGUCUCGCGAUGUCUCGUCUCCUUCAUCGCUCGUGCUGUGAGUGUGAACGCGUGCGCGCACAUCCUUCCUCAGCAGAGGCCGUGUCUGUUUGGAGAGGAGAGGAGAGGAGAGGAGAGGAGGAGCUCUGUAGAAUAUGAUGCUUCCUGUUCAGGUUACAGAUGGU